GACAGAGGGUGCAAACGUUGCUCGGAAUUACUGGGCGUAAAGCGCGUGUAGGUGGCCACGCAAGUCAGGUGUGAAAGCCCAGGGCUCAACCCUGGAAGUGCACAUGACACUACGUGGCUGGAGUACUGAAGAGGAGAGCGGAAUUCCCGGUGUAGAGGUGAAAUUCGUAGAUAUCGGGAGGAACACCAGUGGCGAAGGCGGCUCUCUGGGCAGAUACUGACACUGAGGCGCGACAGCGUGGGGAGCAAACAGG
RNAcentral lists this ribosomal RNA (253 nucleotides) under uncultured bacterium. Its description in RNAcentral is "partial 16S ribosomal RNA". It matches the Rfam family "Bacterial small subunit ribosomal RNA", at positions 524 to 776 of the family's 1533-position model. The record is from RNAcentral.